UACGGAGGAUGCGAGCGUUAUCCGGAUUUAUUGGGUUUAAAGGGUGCGUAGGCGGAAUAUCAAGUCAGCGGUAAAAAUUCGGGGCUCAACCCCGUCGUGCCGUUGAAACUGGCUGUCUUGAGAUGUCGAGAGGUAUGCGGAAUGCGCAGUGUAGCGGUGAAAUGCUUAGAUAUCACGAAGAACCCCGAUUGCGAAGGCAGCAUACCGGCGCCCUACUGACGCUGAGGCACGAAAGUGCGGGUAUCGAACAGG
RNAcentral lists this ribosomal RNA (252 nucleotides) under uncultured Bacteroidales bacterium. RNAcentral describes it as "partial 16S ribosomal RNA". It matches the Rfam family "Bacterial small subunit ribosomal RNA", at positions 524 to 776 of the family's 1533-position model. The record is from RNAcentral. Lineage: Bacteria; Pseudomonadati; Bacteroidota; Bacteroidia; Bacteroidales.